This 690-nucleotide ribosomal RNA is filed under the name Debaryomyces hansenii. Its description in RNAcentral is "LSU rRNA". The stretch from base 1 to 584 matches the Rfam family "Eukaryotic large subunit ribosomal RNA", at positions 64 to 664 of the family's 3401-position model. The record is from RNAcentral. Lineage: Eukaryota; Fungi; Ascomycota; Pichiomycetes; Serinales; Debaryomycetaceae.
UCUCAGGGUAAUUGCCUUAGUACGGCGAGUGAAGCGGCAAAAGCUCAAAUUUGAAAUCUGGCACCUUCGGUGUCCGAGUUGUAAUUUGAAGAAGGUAACUUUGGAGUUGGCUCUUGUCUAUGUUCCUUGGAACAGGACGUCACAGAGGGUGAGAAUCCCGUGCGAUGAGAUGCCCAAUUCUAUGUAAAGUGCUUUCGAAGAGUCGAGUUGUUUGGGAAUGCAGCUCUAAGUGGGUGGUAAAUUCCAUCUAAAGCUAAAUAUUGGCGAGAGACCGAUAGCGAACAAGUACAGUGAUGGAAAGAUGAAAAGAACUUUGAAAAGAGAGUGAAAAAGUACGUGAAAUUGUUGAAAGGGAAGGGCUUGAGAUCAGACUUGGUAUUUUGCGAUCCUUUCCUUCUUGGUUGGGUUCCUCGCAGCUUACUGGGCCAGCAUCGGUUUGGAUGGUAGGAUAAUGACUAAGGAAUGUGGCUCUACUUCGGUGGAGUGUUAUAGCCUUGGUUGAUACUGCCUGUCUAGACCGAGGACUGCGUCUUUUGACUAGGAUGUUGGCAUAAUGAUCUUAAGCCACCCGUCUUAACACCCGGGACCAAAAAAAAGAGUUAAAAAAGAAAAAAAAAAGGAGGAAAGAGGAGAGCAAGGCACAGAAAGAGGGCGGUAAUUCGUGGGUCUCUCUCCGAAACCGGGGUUACG